AACCUGGUUGAUCCUGCCAGUAGUCAUAUGCUUGUGNUAACCUGGUUGAUCCUGCCAGUAGCAUAUGCUUAUCUUUGAGAUUAAGCCAUGCAUGUCUAAGUAUAAGUUAUAUACGGCGAAACUGCGAAUGGCUCAUUAAAACAGUUAUAGUAUAUUUGAUGAUGUUUUUAUAUGGAUAACCGUUUGGGAAACCAGAGCUAAUACAUGCUUAAAGGCCUUAUGGUUGUAUUUAUUAGCUAUAAACCAUUACCUUCGGGUUUUGUGAGGAAUCAUAAUAACUGAUCGAAGCGCACUGGUGUGUGCUAAAUCUUUCUAGUUUCUGCUCUAUCAUGUUUUGAUGGUAGUGUAUUGGACUACCAUGACUAUCACGGGUAACGGAGAAUUAGGGUUCGAUUCCGGAGAGGGAGCCUGAGAAACGGCUACCACAUCCACGGUAGGCAGCAGGCGCGUAAAUUACCCAAUCCUGAUUCAGGGAGGUAGUUACGAGAAAUAUCAACUCAGUUUAUCUGAGAUUUAACUGGACUGAAUCUAAAACAUUCUAUGAAUACGAUUGGAGGGCAAGUCUGGUGCCAGCAGCCGCGGUAACUCCAGCUCCAAUAGUGUAUCUUAACGUUGUUGCAGUUAAAAAGCUCGUAGUUGAAUUUCUGGCUAGCUGACCAACUUAGGUUGGGACGGGCUAGUCAUCCGCGUUGGAAAUCAGCCAGAUGUUUAGUCAUCAGUUGAUGAAAGACGCAUUUUACUUUGAAGAAAUUAGAGUGUUCCAAGCAAGCAUUGUUGAAUAUUACAGCAUGGAAUAAUGGAAUAGGACAUAGUCAUUUUAUUGGUUAUUGACUUUGUAAUGAUUAACAGGGACAGUUGGGGGCAUUCGUAUUCAGUUGUCAGAGGUGAAAUUCGUAGAUUAACUGAAGACGAACUAAUGCGAAAGCAUUUGCCAAGGAUGUUUUCAUUAAUCAAGAACGAAAGUUAGGGGAUCGAAGACGAUUAGAUACCGUCGUAGUCCUAACUAUAAACUAUACCGACUAGGGAUUGGCAGGGGUUUGUCCCCUGUCAGCACCUAAUGAGAAAUCAAAGUCUUUAGGUUCUGGGGGGAGUAUGUUCGCAAGAAUGAAACUUAAAGGAAUUGACGGAAGGGCACCACCAGGAGUGGAGCCUGCGGCUCAAUUUGACUCAACGCGGGGAAACUUACCAGGGCAAGACCUGAGAAUGAUUGACAUUUUGAUAGCUUUUUCUUGAUUACAGGGAUGGUGGUGCAUGGCCGUUCUUAGUUGGUGAAGUGAUUUGUCCGGUUAAUUCCUUUWACAAACGAGACCUUAACCUGCUAAACUAGUCGUUCUUAUUUUAGGGAUUGACUUCUUAGAGGGACUAUGGUUUAAAAUCCAUGGAAGUUUGAGGCAAUAACAGGUCCGUGAUGCCCUUAGACGUUCUGGGCCGCACGUGUGCUACACUGACUCACGCAACGAGUUCUUUAUCUAACCCGAAAGGGGACGGAAAAUCUUGUUAAUAUGAGUCGUGCUAGGGAUUGAUCUUUGCAAUUUUGGAUCAUGAACGAGGAAUUCCUAGUAGGCAUAAGUCAUCAUCUUGUGCCGAUUACGUCCCUGCCCUUUGUACACACCGCCCGUCGCUCCUACCGAUUGAGUGAUCCGGUGAACUUUCUGGACAUUUGGCUUCCGCCGUAAUGGAAGUUAAGCAAAUCUUAUCACUUAGAGGAAGGAAAAGUCGUAACAAGGUUUCCGUAGGUGAACCUGCGGAAGGAUCA
Molecule: ribosomal RNA, 1756 nt
Filed under: Chilodochona sp. DHL-2016
Lineage: Eukaryota; Ciliophora; Phyllopharyngea; Exogemmida; Chilodochonidae
Description: SSU rRNA
Rfam family: Eukaryotic small subunit ribosomal RNA
Source: RNAcentral